GACGAACGCUGGCGGCGUGCUUAACACAUGCAAGUCGAACGGAAAGGCCCUGCUUUUGUGGGAUGCGCGAGUGGCGAAAGGGUGAGUAACACGUGAGUAACCUGCCCUUGACUUUGGGAUAACUUCAGUAAACUGGGGCGAAUACCGGAUAGGAGCUCCUGCUGCAUGGUGGGGGUUGGAAAGUUGCGGCGGUUGGGGAUGGACGCGCGGCUCAUCAGCUUGUUGGUGGGGUAGUGGGUUAACAAGGCAUUGACGGGUAGCCGGCUUGAGACGGUGACCGGCCACAUUGGGACUGAGAUACGGCCCAGACGCCUACGGGAGGCAGCAGUGGGGAAUAUUGCACAAUGGGCGGAAGCAUGAUGCAGCAACGCCGCGUGCGGGAUGACGGCCUUCGGGUUGGAACCCGCUUUCGCCUGGGACGAAGCGUGAGUGACGGUAAUGGGUAAAGAAGCACCGGCUAACUACGUG
Molecule: ribosomal RNA, 468 nt
Filed under: uncultured bacterium
Lineage: Bacteria
Description: partial 16S ribosomal RNA
Rfam family: Bacterial small subunit ribosomal RNA
Source: RNAcentral